CUAAAGUCUUCCAGGAGGUACAUAUAGAUUUAAUCUUCCUCUCCACAAUUUCUCCCUUGGCUGAACUAAACAUCAUUUCAUUUCCUGAGAGGUGCCAGUUCUCUCUGUUAGAGUAAGUGCCAGUACUUGCCCUGUGAAUUAACAACUCUCUGCUUUAAAAAGAUAAAGGUCUCUGUUUCACACACAUGCACAACCUUGUGAGCCUGAGACCUGCUUAGUGGUCGCUGAGGUUGAUCUAAUUGAAACUGUCAUCACUCCUUGCUCUCCCUGGCCCUGUGGUCCUGCUGACUUCCUUGUGAAUGGGUAGUUGCAGUUCAGGGAAAGGAUUAGUUUGAAAAUUUAUCUUCUCUUUGUUUUGCAGGUCUGUUUUUUGGCUGGCUUGGCUAACGGUGCUAUUGAAGCAAGAAGAUGAAGCAGCGUCCUGUGAAACAGCAGAGGUGGGAGCAGUGUCCUGAGGAAGGAAGCUGAAAUGUGAAUAGGCAUCGCAUCCCAUAUAAAUUGUCUCUUGGCAGGGCUGUGAAGUACGCAAUCCAGGGAAGAAAAAAAAUAAUCAAGUCCAACAGGAAAAUAAGAGAGGCAAGAGAGACCCGAAGAAAAACCAAUAAUAUUAAAACAACAACAAUCAAACAAACAAACAAGCAAACAAAAAACCCACAACUUUAAGGAACUGGGUUAGAACUCCAGGAUAUUGGCUUUUCAGGUAAGUCUUGGUCAACAGAACUUAACCGUGUUGUUUUAUCUAAGGAUUCAAUGAGACUAGCUGAAUUCAUCCAGGGAAUUUACAAGCCGGUACAUUUUGUUGGACAAGCCCUGUAUUCUUGUGUGAUUUAAAAAACAACAUGAUUUUCAUUCAAAUUGACGCACAGCCACAUAUUGCAUACUAUAUUAUUCAUUCUAUUUUGCAUGGAAAAUGAUUGUUUCAAAAUUCUGAAGUAACUGUUAAAUCAUCCAGAUAUUUUUGUUAAAUUUACUGGACCUUUUUCAUUAUUUUGUCUGAGCCAGAGAAAUUAUUUUCAAAUG
Molecule: long non-coding RNA, 1020 nt
Filed under: Anas platyrhynchos platyrhynchos (common mallard)
Lineage: Eukaryota; Metazoa; Chordata; Aves; Anseriformes; Anatidae
Description: lncRNA (ENSAPLG00000016749.1)
Source: RNAcentral